GAGCCUGUAGCUCAGCUGGAUAGAGCGUUUGCCUCCGAAGCAAAAGGUCGUGGGUUCGAAUCCCGCCAGGCUCA
This 74-nucleotide transfer RNA is filed under the name Candidatus Margulisiibacteriota bacterium. RNAcentral describes it as "Candidatus Margulisbacteria bacterium (hot springs metagenome) tRNA-Arg". It matches the Rfam family "tRNA". Rfam says of the family: Transfer RNA (tRNA) molecules are approximately 80 nucleotides in length. Their secondary structure includes four short double-helical elements and three loops (D, anti-codon, and T loops). The record is from RNAcentral. Lineage: Bacteria; Bacillati; Candidatus Margulisiibacteriota.